RNAcentral lists this ribosomal RNA (540 nucleotides) under Colletotrichum sp. SDHeze-3. RNAcentral describes it as "eukaryotic LSU rRNA". The stretch from base 177 to 330 matches the Rfam family "5.8S ribosomal RNA". The record is from RNAcentral. Lineage: Eukaryota; Fungi; Ascomycota; Sordariomycetes; Glomerellales; Glomerellaceae.
GGGGGAUCUGACUACGCUCUAUAACCCUUUGUGACAUACCUAUAACUGUUGCUUCGGCGGGUAGGGUCUCCGCGACCCUCCCGGCCUCCCGCCUCCGGGCGGGUCGGCGCCCGCCGGAGGAUAACCAAACUCUGAUUUAACGACGUUUCUUCUGAGUGGUACAAGCAAAUAAUCAAAACUUUUAACAACGGAUCUCUUGGUUCUGGCAUCGAUGAAGAACGCAGCGAAAUGCGAUAAGUAAUGUGAAUUGCAGAAUUCAGUGAAUCAUCGAAUCUUUGAACGCACAUUGCGCCCGCCAGCAUUCUGGCGGGCAUGCCUGUUCGAGCGUCAUUUCAACCCUCAAGCUCUGCUUGGUGUUGGGGCCCUACAGCUGAUGUAGGCCCUCAAAGGUAGUGGCGGACCCUCCCGGAGCCUCCUUUGCGUAGUAACUUUACGUCUCGCACUGGGAUCCGGAGGGACUCUUGCCGUAAAACCCCCCAAUUUUCCAAAGGUUGACCUCGGAUCAGGUAGGAAUACCCGCUGAACUUAAGCAUAUCAAAG